CGACGAUACGCAUGCUCGCGUUCUUUGAAAACGGUUCACGCGUUCGAACCAGAGACUUUGCGACGUGCAUUUUCCUUAACGCGUUCUUGGGCUGACUUCAACGAUUCGAUCGCGUGUUCGAGAUGUCGGUUUCCAUGUUUCGCAGAGUCGAUCAAACGGCGAAAUAAUUGGUUGCACGCCGUUCUUUCCUUUUCACCCAUAAAGCUAACGGUUAGUCCGAAUCGAUUGCAUUUCCGGAGGACGCUUAGGAUCUGGACGACGGUUUCGACGGUCCCGCUCGUGGCCGCAACGGUUUCGGAGCACACCUCUAUCAACUCUGCGAACAACGCCGGAGGAAUCUCGCCUUUCCUCCGGACUCACACCUCGCUCGACCACCAGAACUAUACGCGCCCACUGAAACGAUCGAGAGAAGAGCGUAGGAAAGAAGAAAGAAAAGAGAAGCGGCGGAGAGAGGGAGACGGCCACUUGGAAUUCGGCGCAAAACCGAACACCGUACCUUGGCUUCCAUCUCGUGUUGCGUUCUCUCGAAUGCGCUGUAGUAAUCUCCAAAGUUGGUCAAGCUCAUCAGAAACAUCGCCAUUAUGCUCUCCAUCGGGGACGGCAUGGGAUUGUUUAUCGAAUCGUCUACGCCUUCCGGCGUAUUUGGAUUGUCGAAAGACAGAAAUAUGAUGUAGUACGCUGCAAUGGAAGAAUAUACGAGAAUAUUCGCAGGGAGAGAAAAGAAAAUGGACACGGAAAAGGAAUCGACACGAAAAUAUCGAAGAUGUCGAAACAUCGAACCGGGAAACCGACCUCCGAUCUCACGUGAAAUUACAGAGUAAUGGGACGUGUUUGAUCGGCACGGUAGAACGUGCGUUGGCUCUGUGCCACGGCCUCUAACAAACUGUUUCGUUUCACGGUGAAACAACUUCCAGCGAAACACUUUGUGUGUCAAUGCCGUUGGUUCGCCAAGUCGCGUAACGGGCGAUUAGGUCAUAAGACGAUCUUGUGUCAUCCUCGAUGCUCUCCGCUGACUAAUUUCGUGAGCGGUUAUCGGGGAGAAGUCUCUGUCCGUCUAUCUGUAUCGUUUCGACCAACUAAAAACCGUUACUCCGGUAGCUCUGGUUACCUUGGGAAAAUCCCAUCACGAAAACCAAAUAAAUGGAAACGAAACGUAGCAGGUCGCCCAUGAUCAUUCUGUAGAUCAUCACGACGAAAGGGCCGACUGUCUUGAACCCUCUGCAGAAGAACAAAAAGUACGGUGCAGUGGUCAGCAUGACGACAACCGCUAGCAUAUCCUCGACCCGAUCGGCGCAGUUCAGUCUCAGCAAUGGAAAGGUUAACAAUAUGCAACAGGAGAAGAGGAACAUUACUCGCGACGGUGCAGUCAUCUAAAAACAAUUCGUUUCGUCGACACGAAAGCGUCGAAAGAUCGAGAUGACGCACCGUCUACGAUAAUAAUCAGAGGUUUACCAGAUUUUCGACAAACAUGCCGAGUCCUAGGAAUCUGGCUUCCCUCAGCGCGGCGAGAAUGUAAAGAGUAGCCGCGAUUUCCAUCAGCAGCUCAGCGAUUAUUCGUAUCUUUCCCGAUAAGCUCGUCAGUUCCAUCAGUCUGCACUCUUGAUUCACGUUGCUCCACCUAAUUAUUUCGGGGGAACGCUAAAUCGCGAAACGUGUUCGAAGUACAUCUACGGAACCCGAUGCAACGUACCAAUUGUCAUCGCUGUCGCUGUCGCUGUCGCUGUCGUUGCCAGCGCCGAGCAACGGAACGAUAUUAGGCAGCGAUGUUGUCCUCUCGAAGGAGCUUUCGUCGGUCGUGCUUCUAACGAAUUCCGUCGUUCCGUUCUUU
Molecule: long non-coding RNA, 1828 nt
Organism: Nomia melanderi (Alkali bee)
Lineage: Eukaryota; Metazoa; Arthropoda; Insecta; Hymenoptera; Halictidae
Source: RefSeq, a predicted model, not a curated record